RNAcentral lists this ribosomal RNA (73 nucleotides) under Aliiroseovarius sp. RNAcentral's name for it is "partial 16S ribosomal RNA". The record is from RNAcentral. Lineage: Bacteria; Pseudomonadati; Pseudomonadota; Alphaproteobacteria; Rhodobacterales; Paracoccaceae.
GAUAAGCUGGCAACAGCUUUUCAACUUGAGAGUUUGAUCCUGGCUCAGAACGAACGCUGGCGGCAGGCUUAAC